Molecule: non-coding RNA, 118 nt
Filed under: Burkholderia sp.
Lineage: Bacteria; Pseudomonadati; Pseudomonadota; Betaproteobacteria; Burkholderiales; Burkholderiaceae
Also listed under: 1 other name
Description: TPP sequence
Rfam family: TPP riboswitch aptamer (THI element)
About the family: Vitamin B(1) in its active form thiamin pyrophosphate (TPP) is an essential coenzyme that is synthesised by coupling of pyrimidine and thiazole moieties in bacteria. The previously detected thiamin-regulatory element, thi box was extended, resulting in a new, highly conserved RNA secondary structure, the THI element, which is widely distributed in eubacteria and also occurs in some archaea.
Source: RNAcentral
CUGCUAACGCGGGGGUCCUGCGUAGCGCGGAGCUGGAGGUCCGUGCGACGUGGGUGAGAAAUACCCUUUGAACCUGAUCUGGAUAAUGCCAGCGCAGGGAAGCGUACGGAUUUCGCAC